Molecule: non-coding RNA, 187 nt
Filed under: Oceanobacillus picturae
Lineage: Bacteria; Bacillati; Bacillota; Bacilli; Caryophanales; Bacillaceae
Also listed under: 2 other names
Description: 6S / SsrS RNA
Rfam family: 6S / SsrS RNA
About the family: E. coli 6S RNA was the first non coding RNA to be sequenced, but its function was unknown until recently. It consists of 184 nucleotides that fold into an extended hairpin structure with a large single-stranded internal bulge.
Source: Rfam by way of RNAcentral
UACAAGCUGCAAUGUACGUAUUUAAUUAAGUUUUAACCUCUAAUGAUAUAAUAGGGAGUUUUACAUCGGAACAAUAAUGUCGUGCCGCCAUAGCGUAGCGGAAGACAGGAUGGUUUCUGCAAACACCCACUUGGUGAAGUGGUGGUUUAAAACUUUUUAUAAUCAAUACGGCAAUUGUGGCCUGUAA